GGCAGUUCUCGGGUGACACACCCAGAAUCUGGCUCCCUCCUCUCUGGUUCUGGGGUUCAUCACCUGAGAACCACC
Non-coding RNA from Myotis lucifugus (little brown bat), 75 nucleotides. Lineage: Eukaryota; Metazoa; Chordata; Mammalia; Chiroptera; Vespertilionidae. The record is from Rfam.